This 71-nucleotide transfer RNA is filed under the name Solegnathus hardwickii (Hardwicke's pipefish). RNAcentral's name for it is "tRNA-Pro". It matches the Rfam family "tRNA". Rfam says of the family: Transfer RNA (tRNA) molecules are approximately 80 nucleotides in length. Their secondary structure includes four short double-helical elements and three loops (D, anti-codon, and T loops). Lineage: Eukaryota; Metazoa; Chordata; Actinopteri; Syngnathiformes; Syngnathidae. The record is from RNAcentral.
CAGAAGAUAGUUAAAUGAGAGAAUGUUGGCUUUGGGAGCCGAUGGUGGGAGUUUGAGUCUCCUUUUUCUGA